GAUUUAGAAAAUGGACAGGGAUC
Molecule: non-coding RNA, 23 nt
Filed under: Cricetulus griseus (Chinese hamster)
Lineage: Eukaryota; Metazoa; Chordata; Mammalia; Rodentia; Cricetidae
Source: RNAcentral